CGCCGGUCUAACUGACGGCUGCUGAGAUUAGUUCUGGGCUCCAUGGUUCCGCUUCCUCCGAGAAACGUUCAGUUGACAUAAAUCAACGAGCUCUUCAGACUGCAAAGCCUAUGUAGGGAAGCUGCUAUUACCGAAGAAAGGAGCGGAUUUCUGGAGCAGCAACAGUUAUCAGGAGGUCCCAGCAGCGCGCGGCGCGACGCGGCGCCAGAGCGCGCCCUGCUGACGCAACCACGUCAGUGCUGCUCAGUUGCAUGGCCGUCAGCAAUGUCCCCAGAACGGCCCAGGGAGGGACCGAGCAAAGUCACGGAGCCACCCUCUCUCUCUCGCAUUGUGCCGCCGGCCGGACCACCUGUUAAAGAGCAGCCGCUGCCGUCGCCUCGGUGCCGGCCGUAAAGUAGCAUGCGGGACGGGAUCUGCUCGGAGCGCACUGAGCGGGACGAGCCCAAAGUGAAGUGAGAAGGAGCGGAGAGAGCCGCGCUUCCGCACCGCACGUUCAGCCAGCAGCAAGUUGCCCGGCUGAACCACACGCGCGCGCGCACACACAGAGACGCACAAAAAAAAGUCGCGUCGACGGGAAAGGGGACAGACGCUCUCGGAUUUAACGGAGCUUUUCAGGGGACAUUGGUUUCAGCAAACAUGAAAUUCGCCGAGCACCUUGCGUCCCACAUCACCCCAGAGUGGAGGAAGCAGUAUCUUCUCUAUGAGGCCUUCAAGGACAUGCUGUAUGGGGCCCAGGACCAAGCCCCUGCCGUAGAAGGUAAGGACCCUCACUGUU
Long non-coding RNA from Fundulus heteroclitus (mummichog), 775 nucleotides. RefSeq lists it as uncharacterized. The transcript is spliced from 3 exons. NCBI's taxonomy places the organism in Eukaryota, Metazoa, Chordata, Actinopteri, Cyprinodontiformes, Fundulidae. The record is from RefSeq and is a predicted model, not a curated record.